UGCUAAAGAUGCAGAUUCUGUCAGUCCUGAUGCAGUGCUCAUCAGUGUGUGGCUGCCUGUUGUCAUUGUGCUUCUGCUGCUGUUACUGCUGUCAACUGUCUGUGUGUGUUGGAGAGCAGCAGAAAUGCAGAAAGGUUGUGGAAUAACUUAUGAUCUCUGUCAUGAGGAAUGGGCACUUGACAGUGUUCAGGGAGUGAAGGGCCUUAAUGAUUGGACACUGGCCGAAGUUCUCUAUGCACCUAUACAGAGAAAUAAUUCUUUAUAAAUCGUUUAAUGUCCUUUAUUGCACUUAACAUCCCCAUUUGUCUUUAAUACAGUGGAAAAGCUUCAGUGUCUCUGAAACAAUAAUUAUAUUUUUAAAACAUUUGUAUGUCCCCUUAUCUUUAGAUGCAUUGAACUGUGUAAUGAUCACUCAAAUGUUUUUUUUGUGUGUGUCCGC
This is a long non-coding RNA of Danio aesculapii, 439 nucleotides long. RefSeq lists it as uncharacterized. The transcript is spliced from 3 exons. The record is from RefSeq and is a predicted model, not a curated record. Lineage: Eukaryota; Metazoa; Chordata; Actinopteri; Cypriniformes; Danionidae.